Athalia rosae (coleseed sawfly) is the source of this 4459-nucleotide long non-coding RNA. RefSeq lists it as uncharacterized. The transcript is spliced from 5 exons. Lineage: Eukaryota; Metazoa; Arthropoda; Insecta; Hymenoptera; Athaliidae. The record is from RefSeq and is a predicted model, not a curated record.
AACGGCUCGUUAUCUCCUCCGUAAUUUUCAACGAAGUAAGAAUCAAUUGAACACACAUCGGGUACACCGUUCGUAGCUCGUCGUUCGGUUAAGGCGAACCAGGUUGCGCUCGUCGGCGUCGAUGCGAGAAACUGGACGUCCUCGAGGAGGAGUUGCCCGCACACGGUCUGAGCCAAUGAUCGGUGUUUAUAUCCAAGCCUAUCUCACUUUCCGUCUCUUAAUUCAUCGGAAUCAACAUCGGAGUCUACCGGGUUAUUCGAUCCAUACCGGUUCCAAAAGGUUUCAAAACUGCAUAAGGGAAAUCUAUUAUGGAACUUCAAGACCGGAAAUAUCGGGUUCGACCGAAGCGGAAGGGGUACGGGAAAAUACUGAGCCAAGGGUCAUAAGGUCACGGAAUUCAAACGACCGCCACAUGCGCUGUACCUUCACCCCAAUUAUCAUUUCCACGUUAUCGAGCUUCCAUGUAGUGAGUCAACGAAUUGACCUCCGCAGUGCGUAUUAUUCAAACGAUGUAAUUUACCGAUUUCAUGUGAAAUGGAAAAACCAUAUACAUAUACGCGAAGAACUAUGAAUAAUCGUCGCUUUGCAUUUUUAUUGGCGAGCCAACGCAUCUCAACGAAACGUGAGUGAAUUGCGAAAAAUUGUUCUCCAUUCGAUUAUACAUUUUAUCAACUGCAACGACAUGAAAUCAAAAUAAAAAGAACAAGAGGUGUGCGAGAACCUAAUCAGAAAAACUGUAUAUACGCAAAUCGGCGGAUUGGAGCGAAUUAAAUCUACUUUCAAAGGGCCACGGAUACUGGUAGAAAAAGUGACAAACUACUCCGUCGCGUCGGGAUGAAUAAAAAAUGGAAAAACAACGCCUCGGGUUUCGGUCUAGAUGCAGUCUGAGGUGCACAUCCGUACGUGUGUAUUGCAGCGUGGUGCACCGGUACGGUCGCAAAUGUACCGACAUUGCGAAAGGCGUUCGCGAAGAAGAAUCCAGCGAAAACAUCGUGUGUGUAUAUAUUAGAUAUGUGUAUCAUCGUAUAUUAUUAUUGUUAGUACGCAAGUGGAUAAGUGAAUAUAUGCAGAUGAAUAUGCAGCGCGGGCAUGCGAGGCACAGUUAUUCGUGAGCACAGCUCAUUUUUGCUCACAUCGACUGACUUGGUCCGUAACGAAGUAGCCAACGAGUUAGAGGCCUCGAAGAUAAUUAAGAUAAUUGCUUUCCAUAUUGGACUAUGUCGGGCGUGCAGCUAUACGCUUGCUCGGAACACAUCUGUCCAUGUUCAAUAUCGUUUGCACGCUCUUCGUCUGCCGCUAGAUUUCACCUUUCUACCAAGGGCACUUCAAAUAAUCGCCUCGCUUUCAACCCGAGUCCAUAGGAUAUCUAUAGCACAUAUGCUCUGCAGAUCGAGCCUUCGAUUUUUCACACCUGUAUAAUAGUUGGCGCACUACAUGUGCCGAUUUACGUCGAUAUAUGUUAUCGUGGUUGUUUAUUUGUCGAUUUUUUUUUCUAAUUUUUAUUUUCAUCAUCUCUAUAAUGCUGAUUAUUUUAGGGAAUAUUUAGGGAAAUUAAUCGGAGACAAAUGUCGAUGAAUUCUCUCAAAAUUACAUCUGCGCAUCGUCAACAGAUCACCCUGAGAUUAAUUGAGAACUCGGGUUAAGAAUUCGAAGUGAGGUGUGCACGAUAUUUUGUUUCCUUGUACGAAGGCACGAAGUCUACAUCCAGGUAUCGACUAAAACAAACCGUGCGAAAAUUAUUAACGUACAGUGCAUGAAAAAAUGAGUGAAAAUAAAAAAAAAAAAAUGGCGAUCAUUCGAAAUGUAACGGUAUGGGUAUGGCGUGUAUUCCGUCUCCGAUAUAUUGGGAGGGCAAACGUGGUUGUGGCGGUUUUUUAAUCUGAGCUAUAACCGCGAGGAUUCGUGUCGGGGCUUUCUCGGUUGUUGCUUUUACAUUUUGACAAGUUGUUUCACUAAUUGCUUAUGACAGACGUAUUCAAAAGUAACAACACACAUAUCCGAGUCAUGUGUGUUCGUGGAAUGUAGUUCUUUCGACGAGAUUAUACGUUUUAAACCAACCGGGUUCUAACGCACGUGAGAGAAUUUAAUGUGUUACGUAAGUCGAAUAUUCAGAUUCGAGAUUUGACGAUGAACCAAAGACAAGUUUGUCCCGGUAAACUAAAUUUGGAACUAUGUAUAUUACACGGGUAUACGGAGGCGCGUUAUCUGCGAAAAAAGGUAUAUAAUAUUCUCCGAAGUAGAAAUGACCGACACAGCGUACGUGAACAAUUUGAACGACAGUGGCCACUUGGGAGCGGAAAUUUUAACGCGGUAUAACCAGAUAAAUCGAGAGUAAAAAAUAAAAUUCUCGGAAUAUCGCGUAAGCAACUUACAGGGCGGUCUGCGGAUGAUUACGAAACUCAGCAGGAUAAAUUCGGUGGAAUCAGAACCGCGUUAGCCGAGGGAUCCGAGAAUCUUCGGAAACGAGCCGGACUAAGGAUUCGCGGCCCAAAUCCGCUCGCACCUUUCACCACGCCCAGGAGGCUCCUUCUGUUUCUCUUCCACGGAAUCCCAUUUCGCGUUGAAACGAGAAAAGUGUGAUCCGCAUGAUAAAAAGGCUCAUCGUGUCGUCUUGCGUAAGCGAAUCACCAUGGCCAUAUAAUAACUAUAUCGAUUACUUUGUACGGUAAGGAUUGGUCGGGUGACGGCUGCGGUAUUAUCAACGAGCUUUCAAUCCCGACGUGAAUUGAUCAUUUAUUUCAGGGAUUUGAUCAAAUCUCAAUUUUCGUCAUUUCUUCGCGACAUCGACGCUGCAUCGCGACAGCAAUUUGGAACAAUCUUAUAAAACACAACCUCUGGAUCGAGGAUAUUUGAUAGUCAGUUAGGUUAAUUUUCAAAAAUAUAUGAAACACGAGAGUGGUUUACUUGCGACAAAAUUUCAUAAUUUCAUUUUAAUCCGAAAAGCGUCGCUGGGUUUCGAGCGUACUUGAGGGGAUCGGUAAUAACUAUAAAGACCGGAUAAAUAUCGGGGAUUCGAAGGUGUCCUUUGGCGUCCCGCCGCAUUAAAGAGCUGGUUAUACUAAUGGCCCGGUGGUUAGCAGUUACAGCGUUUAUAAUCCACCUCUCAACAGCAGUACUUCUUCAGGUUUAAUUGAAAGGCCGAUUCGGAUUUCACGAUGCGAUCGGCGAAUCGUAUGUUAUAUGUAGCUGAAACUGCAAACCGCGAUAUCGUGCAAAAAAAAAUCAGCGAAAAGUCGAGUCAAAAUCACCCACGUAAGCGCGGGUAAAAGUUGGCGUACUAUACCCCGAGAAUGUUAAUUGACGGAAUUUUGUAUCGUCCGUAGAGCGGGUGGUCGUUUGUACCGUCGUUUCCGCGUUUACCGGGGGACGGUGCGAGCCUUGCUUUCGACAAUGACCCAGAUCCUCGGAGGAACCUGGCCACUCAUAAAGAUCAGGUGCAAGAACGUGCCCGUCAACGCGAUCCGUCGCAACAACGUCCGUACCGUCGUUCGACCGGUCGCCGGUCGUCGGCUAGGUACGUCAACUUUGAAACCCGCAACGACCGUACGUCUGUCAGCUCUCUCCUUCGGUCGGAUCCCAUUGACUCUCACCCGUUCUCUCGGAACGAUCGCGAUUCGCUAUCGCGUGUGUACAGAGGCAGUCCGACCGGGCCGUUGGGGUACGAGACGAUUCGUCGCCAACGUGCGGCCGUGUAGCGCUGUGAUGCAAGCCGAUAUAUAAAGCAGGAAAAGCAUUGGAGAUAAAUGGUUGAUGAAUUACCAGAUUCAUGACAGCUGCAAUGGCUGGUAAAGCAAGAGUCUUGUAGCUGGUGGAAUCUACCUCAUGGCCAAACAGUGAGGUGCUGGUAAUCAUUGACAUGCGGUAAAGGACUACAGCAAAAACCGCGGCCACCGCAGUACAUGUCAAUAAAAGAACCACUGAGAAACUAAAUAAUGUUGCUGGAACUCGGACCUUCCAGAAACUGACGUAAGGCUCGCGUAGCCGCGUUACUGUAUUCACCUAUUCAACAGAAUCGUAUCUAUAAAAAUUUAGGAAAUUAACGGCGCUUUCUCAGAAGACCUAGUAGAUCAAUAACCGAAUUAUGCAACAUGGUAUGAGAAUGCAUUUAACAUGUUACAUACCUUUUGCUUAAUGUUAAAAAAGGUAGCUUUAGCAAGAAGCGCCAGAUAUCCUGGCCGAGGAUGUUCUGCAGUUUGGUCCCACUCAAUCAAACCCCAUCGAUGACUUAAUUCUGCAGACCGUCGUUUCCACAAUUCAAGAUACAACGUUGCCCAAAAUGACAUGAAAACGGCGAAUAUUGGAGUUGCCGGGUUAUCAAACAGGUACCCUAAAUAAAUGGAAGACAAAAGUUACAAGGUCAUAAUCAGGAACUUUGAUUAUCUCAAUAAGUUCUUCCUACUUACAUCGUGUAACGGGUAAGCUGCUGCAUAAACUCCAUCAUUCAGCAGAGUAUGAAUAC